AGCAGACUGACGCCACAACAUCUGAGACACGAUAGGCUUUACUUCCACUGAUCAGCGAUGCCUAUUCCAGAUUCUGUGAAAUUACUAAACUUCAACUGAUGCAGACUCCCUAUAAGUGAAUGAAGGAUAAUGAGUGACUCAAAUAACUGCCCCACCAGCUGCAGCACCAGCAAGGAUGUCCAGAUCCCCAUCAUCGCCUGCCUCUGUGAAGCUUUAUUAAUGUCUGUCAUUGUCAAUAUCUAUUUUAUGUGUACGAGGAGGCACGCGGAACUUGGCCAGCGUAAUUAUCGAUGAGGCUGAAGAUGCGAUACAGUAUUCCACACUGGAUUUUGCUAAAAAGAGAAAAGAAAGACAGAGGCAGGAAGAGGGAGAGACAGAAGAGACUCUGUACUCCGGUCUGGCGAGUCUUGGGUUGGAGUGAGACCCUCGUAUCUUUAUUACUUACUGAAUACUUGGAAAUGAUUUUUCUUCUUCCAUUUAUUUUAAUGUGUAAUGCCUAAAAUUUAUAACAAUAAAGAAAGGAAAAUUGA
Molecule: long non-coding RNA, 530 nt
Organism: Pygocentrus nattereri (red-bellied piranha)
Lineage: Eukaryota; Metazoa; Chordata; Actinopteri; Characiformes; Serrasalmidae
Exons: 4
Source: RefSeq, a predicted model, not a curated record